Molecule: long non-coding RNA, 1422 nt
Organism: Patella vulgata (common limpet)
Lineage: Eukaryota; Metazoa; Mollusca; Gastropoda; Patellidae
Exons: 7
Source: RefSeq, a predicted model, not a curated record
AAUGGUGUACCUGCGUGUGCCAAUAAGAAGACUUUGAGUGAUAUUCUCCGAGACGAAUGGGGCUUUAAAGGAUAUGUUGUCAGUGACAUGGAGGCCAUCGAAAUGAUAAUAUCGCAGCAUAAAUAUUACAAUAACAGUAUCGAUACGGCGACUGGGUCUGUUAAUGCUGGUGUUAACUUAGAAUUAGCUGGUAGAACAACUAAAACUGGUGUUUUCACCUAUAUCGCGCAAGCGGUUAAAGAAGGAAAACUUAACGCAAGCUUAGUAAAAGAAAGGGUUAAACCACUAUUCUAUACAAGAAUGAGGUUAGGAGAAUUUGAUCCACCAGAGAUGAAUCCCUAUUCCGCCAUCAAUACAUCUGUUAUAGAAGAACAAGCUCAUAGAGACUUGGCUGUAGAAGCUGCUAUGAAGUCCUUUGUUUUAUUAAAGAAUGACGGCUUGUUGCCGCUGACGCAAGCUACUUACAAUAGUAUAUCGAUAAUUGGGCCUUUGAUAGAUGACAAUGACCAUAUUGAAGGCAGCUACACAGCAAAGCCAGACAAUAAAUUUAUCACCACUGUUCAUGAAGGUCUUCGAACAUUAGGGAAAACUGUUAAAAACGCUACCGGAUGUCUUGAUGAUACGGCGUGUACUAAAUAUGAUUCACACUCAAUUAAAACGGCUGUACAAGGUGUUGAUAUUAUCUUUAUUUGCCUCGGAUUAGGGCCCCCAAUAGAAGGAGAAAGUCGUGACCGAUCUGAUAUACAAUUCCCUGGACAACAGUCACAAUUAUUAAUGGAUGCUGUAAACAAUAGUGGAUCUGCUAAAAUUGUUCUAAUAAUGUUUAACGCCGGGCCAGUAAAUAUAAGCUGGGCUGACCAUAAUCCUCGAGUAUCCGCGAUUUUAGCUGCGUUUUAUCCAGGACAAGGUGCGGGAGUUGCUCUCAGAAAUGUUCUAACCAGUUCAAAUAAAGCACAGUUUGGUAGAUUGCCAUAUACGUGGUUUUAUUCGGCUGACCAGGUUCCACCAAUAGUUAACUAUACCAUGGAGGGUAGAACGUAUCGCUACUUAAAUGCGGAGCCACUGUAUCCAUUUGGUUACGGUUUGACCUACACCAGCUUUGAAUACAUAGAACUCAUGUAUAAUUAUGUUGUAAAUGCUGGUGAUAUGAUGUUUGGUUCUGUGAAACUUGUUAAUACGGGUAGUUGCACAGGAGACGAGAUAAUUCAAGUUUAUGUGUCUUGGGUAAGUGCUAGUGUCCCUGUGCCUCUAAUACAACUAGUAAACUUUACAAGAGUUACCAUACCACCAGGUGGCAUAGUUGAGUUCCAGUUCAGUAUAUCUCCUGAAAACAUGGCGGUUUUUACAGAAAAUAAGGGAUGGGUUCUGGAAGAAGGGGAUAUUCGACUGUUUGUAGGCGGUGAACAGCCGGGACAAGUUAAG